AGAGUUUGAUCCUGGCUCAGGAUGAACGCUGGCGGCGUGCUUAACACAUGCAAGUCGAACGGAGAAUUGAAGCUUGCUUCAAUUCUUAGUGGCGGACGGGUGAGUAACGCGUGGGUAACCUGCCCUUAAGUGGGGGACAACAGUUGGAAACGACUGCUAAUACCGCAUAAAGUUAAGAGCCUGCAUGGGCUUUUAACCAAAGGAGUAAUCCGCUUUUGGAUGGACCCGCGUCUGAUUAGCUAGUUGGUGGGGUAAUGGCCCACCAAGGCUACGAUGGUUAGCUGGUCUGAGAGGAUGAUCAGCCACACUGGAACUGAGACACGGUCCAGACUCCUACGGGAGGCAGCAGUGGGGAAUUUUGCGCAAUGGGGGAAACCCUGACGCAGCAACGCCGCGUGAGUGAUGAAGGCCUUCGGGUCGUAAAGCUCUGUCAGAGGGGAAGAAAUGAGAUUGGCUAAUAUCCAAUUUUCUUGACGGUACCCUCAAAGGAAGCACCGGCUAACUACGUGCCAGCAGCCGCGGUAAUACGUAGGUGGCGAGCGUUAUCCGGAUUUACUGGGCGUAAAGGAUGCGUAGGCGGAUGUUUAAGUGAGAUGUGAAAUACCCGGGCUUAACUUGGGUGCUGCAUUUCAAACUGGAUAUCUAGAGUGCGGGAGAGGAGAAUGGAAUUCCUAGUGUAGCGGUGAAAUGCGUAGAGAUUAGGAAGAACACCAGUGGCGAAGGCGAUUCUCUGGACCGUAACUGACGCUGAGGCAUGAAAGCGUGGGUAGCAAACAGGAUUAGAUACCCUGGUAGUCCAC
Molecule: ribosomal RNA, 800 nt
Filed under: uncultured bacterium
Lineage: Bacteria
Description: bacterial SSU rRNA
Rfam family: Bacterial small subunit ribosomal RNA
Source: RNAcentral